RNAcentral lists this ribosomal RNA (555 nucleotides) under uncultured archaeon. Its description in RNAcentral is "bacterial SSU rRNA". It matches the Rfam family "Archaeal small subunit ribosomal RNA", at positions 325 to 879 of the family's 1478-position model. The record is from RNAcentral.
ACGGGGUGCAGCAGGCGCGAAACCUUUACACUGCACGACAGUGCGAUAAGGGAAUCCCAAGUGCGUAGGCAUAGAGCCUACGCUUUUGUCCACCGUAGGGAGGUGGACGAAUAAGGGCUGGGCAAGACCGGUGCCAGCCGCCGCGGUAAUACCGGCAGCCCGAGUGAUGGCCGAUCUUAUUGGGCCUAAAGCGUCCGUAGCUGGCCGCGCAAGUCUAUCGGAAAAUCCACCCGCUCAACGGGUGGGCGUCCGGUAGAAACUGCGUGGCUUGGGACCGGAAGGCGCGACGGGUACGUCCGGGGUAGGAGUGAAAUCCUGUAAUCCUGGACGGACCACCGGUGGCGAAAGCGCCUCGGGAGAACGGAUCCGACAGUGAGGGACGAAAGCUAGGGUCUCGAACCGGAUUAGAUACCCGGGUAGUCCUAGCUGUAAACGAUGCCCGCUAGGUUUGGCACAGGCUACGAGCCUGUGCUGUGCCGUAGGGAAGCCGAGAAGCGGGCCGCCUGGGAAGUACGUCCGCAAGGAUGAAACUUAAAGGAAUUGGCGGGGGAGCAC